CACCGGGCACCAGGUUCUGCCAGCUCACUUGCCAAGCGUUCAGAAAUCUGUCAGGGGCCGGAGGCCUCUGGGUAGCCUAGGCUAAGGAGAUGACACGCAAGGCGACGAUGGGUGGUCCGAUGGGCUUCAGGACUUGAUGGCGUAACCCCCGUCUUCCCCCACUGUCAGCUGCUCAAGCCUGACCGAGGUAGAGGAAAGAGGAGCAAGCCGUCCCUGGUGUCCCACCUGACCUCCCAGCCUUUACCCCCAUUUCCUUCUAUCGGGCAGACAGACAGACAGGCUGGUUUUCCAAGUUGUUUGGGUAUCAGUGUCUGUCCGUCCGUAUGGUUCUCAGGUAGAAGGUGCGGAGUGAGGAGGAGAAGUGUUGAGAGGAAGGCGAGAGGGGCAGCUUUCUAGGGGUUGCCCUGUUGAAACAUUCGGCCCUGGGAAUCUGGGGCUAUUGGGGAGCAGGUGGGCAGGAUGGGGCGUGGGCUGCGAGAAGUGGGGUAAAGCCGGUAGGUCUGUCAUUGCGUAGUUGGGGAAAGUGGGGAAUGGUGACGCAGUCACUGUUGGAUCUUGUUAGGGGCUCUGGGGGGACAGGUAGUGAGGGUCCCAGGAUCUGUACGGCCAGCUGAGAGGGGUUGAGGAUGAGCUGAGAAGGGAAGCUAGCAUUUAGAGAUUAAAUGUCAUCCUUUUGGCGUUGGAAAGUUGUUUACCUUGUGCUCUCUGUGUCUCCAUGUUGGCACCCUUCCAGUUCACAUGUGAUGGCCUUCCUUGUACUGCUGCAUCAUUAACUAAGUGACUGAGCUGGCCUUCCAUUGGCCAGGGGAGGGCUCUCACUCUAGACACUUCCUCUGAUUGGUGGGUGGACCAAUGGCAGUGGGAAUUUUCCGAUCAGCCACACCUCAGCGUUGCGGCAAAAUAAAUCUUGGCUCCCCUGGAAACGCAUGGGCAAGGUAGGGCAGAGCUGCUGUUGCCACCACCCUGGGCUUCCUGCUGACUCCGGGCUCCUCCCUGGGGACAAGAGAUUUGCAUUGACGUCCCAGGCCGUCCAGAGCUGAGCCCAUUAUGGGAAGGACCUGCCUUCUGGAAGCUGCUGCUCCCCGGUGCUUGGAAAGGUACCACAUCCAUCUGGUUCACAGCGGUUAUUUCAUUUAUGUCUCACCGCAACCCUGCGAGGAGUGUCCCAUGGCCGGAACUUCUGCAUCAGGAAAACACCAUGGAAACGCCAGGAGCAUUGGUGGUGGCCGAGUGAGGGUUAAACAGUGAGCCUUCCUGGAUCCUUUUGAGGCCAGGUUAGUUUCCCUUCUUUCCGAACGCAGCACUGGCUGCCUGCUUCCUGAUGCUGCUGCAUCCCGUGGGAGGGGAGUUGGGCACCCCGAA
Non-coding RNA from Kogia breviceps (pygmy sperm whale), 1362 nucleotides. The record is from RefSeq and is a predicted model, not a curated record. NCBI's taxonomy places the organism in Eukaryota, Metazoa, Chordata, Mammalia, Artiodactyla, Physeteridae.